Molecule: long non-coding RNA, 2706 nt
Filed under: Androctonus crassicauda
Lineage: Eukaryota; Metazoa; Arthropoda; Arachnida; Scorpiones; Buthidae
Source: RNAcentral
UUUCCAGGAACUCUCGUUUUCUCUAUGCGAAGAUAAUUCGUGCAUCAAGACACCUUCGUCGCCUAACGAAAGAUUUCCUCUACAAGGUUUGUAUCUCUCUGUAACCACUUUUUCCUGCUUUAUAUACCUUUCCAUUCGUUAGGAAAAGAAAAUAGAAAAAAAGAUUUCUAACCGUUAAUAAAAAAAAACUCGAUUCAAAAAAUAAUCCUCUUACUACUCUGGAGUAGAAUCUCCGAUGCUCGACACUUAAUGAAACGUCUUAAAUGACAAACGGGGAUUUGCUUCAUUAAUAAAAUCAUCCGUGUAAUGCCUCAGAAAAAAUUACGCUAACUGAUUUGUCUUUUUUUUGUGUUUUUUUUUAACAUAAAUGCCCUACAACGGACUGCAUAUUGUACGCUUCAUUAAUUUAAUUGCGCUAUAUCAUAAACUAUAGCCUAUACGUUUUAACUAACAAAUUUACUCGCGGUGCUCUCGGGAGAACUCGGAAAAAGUGGAUAUAAAAAAGAAAAAAUGAUCCACUAGCGAUAAAUCUACUAAAAUAUUCGUUGUUAAAUGGAAAUUUAAUUAUGUCUGACUGGCUGUCUGGAAAAAAAAACGAGUUGACAUUAUUUCGCAGUCGGAAAAAACGUUGGAGAAAAUAAUGGAGUUUCAUUGACGAGAGAAUAUUCUCUCCGAUGGCAGAUAAGUGGAUUUGGUUAUCUUAGCGCCGCUUUUGUCACUCGAAACGUUUCGUAUAACUUAAUACUGGGUGAAAGCGAGCGUUAAACGAAAUUAAUUCGGGUAAUUUAGUAGGCAUUUUGCCGUUCAAAUACCGCAAUUUUUGCACUUUUCGAUUGUCGAAAAUAAGCGGCGAGCCAUGGGAAACUUUAAACUUAAAUCUUAUCGCAUCCGUAAUAAGAUAAAUGCAGGAAGUCUUGCAGCGACCAAGCCAAUUCUGUAUUUCACCAGGUGGUAAGAUGCUAGGUGUCAGGGGUGUGGCAGAAUCGCACCUUGGUAGGUACCCCAUGGUUUUUGAUUCAAGUUCUCCCCUUACCUCGGGGCGGUGGACUUCGAUUAAUAGCAUACUUUCCGAGUCAGAAAAAUUUUCUUUUUCUGCUCCGUACGCUUUCCUGUUACGUAUAUAAUUGGUAUCUGGUCUUUUAUCGUUACUUUUAUAGUAGUAAUUAUAAAUUUUGUUACCGUAAAAGCAGCGGUAGAUAUUUUUUUAACUGCCGCCAGUGCUAUUAUGAGUUAAAUUUAAACGGUAAGUAGGACGAAACAGAUGUAGUAAGCUAGGCAAAAACGUUAGCAAUUAACUGAAUCGAUAUUUAAUUUUAUUUAUUAGGAGCGCGCCAUAGGACAGCGUGUCGGCUCUCACACUUCCCGUUUCAGCAAAAGUAGCAGCUGUACAAAUUUAUGAUAAACGAUUGUAAUUCCCCUAGCGGUGGCCGAUAAAGAAAAAAGGGAACGAAGGGGGGAGAGGAAAAAGCCACAUUGCCCGGUCUUCGGGAUAUGGGACCAAUUAACCACCCCCCCGACCCACUGAAAGGGCGGGAAGGAAACAAAAAUCGUGCUUCGGCUUUUGGAUACAUAGAAGGGGUUGUCGGCGCCUUUGACUGGCCGAGCCCUGCAGGGUCUGACAUACAUCCGUCUUCUUUCCCUGCGAGUUCCUCACCAACGUAGCCGGAGGCUUGGAUAAACCCGAUGGUUAAGUGGCUCUAUUCAUUGCCUGACCGUCUGGACUCACCUGCCUCUUCUCUUUGAUGUCGACCGACGACUCUUCUCGACAUUGUGGAUCUGUUCGUCCCCCCAGAACACAGAUGGGGCCGGCAUGCUGGGACUAAUCAAAGUCCCCUCCACUCGGGGGGGAGGUGGAUAGUCCUGGCGGCGUACCACAAGGGAGCUAUUGUCAGCGAUUCUUUGGAAAGUCAGGAUUGCAGAUAUGGCAUAUCAGUGAGGCCUGUCGAAAUGUCAGGUAAGAGGAAAAUAAGAUUUUUAACGUUCUGUGAUCCGACCAGCAGUCCGAGUCUAUGCCGAAUUUUUCUCCAGUUUAUUCUAGCAGUUUUGAAUUGAUACAGGUCUGGGCGGCGAGAGACGCUACAUCAUUAAAAUUCCAAAGUAUUUUUCAGAUAAGAUUGCACGCAGUACAGAAACUUCGCAAACGGUAUCGCUUUCUAAGAAACAGCUACGGUUGGGGAUGUUCCUCUUCCGAGAAAUUACUACACGAAAUGUUUUGUGGAUCUUUAUCUGCACGCGCUUCGUGGGGGCUUAAGAACCGUGUUUCGAUUAGUAAAGUAAGACGACACGUGAGAGAAAACAUAAUACAAUAUAGGUUCUGUCUGACUAAUAGCGUACAGUGUGCGUGUCGCCAAGAGAGAACAAUCGACAGAUUUUGAAAUAUUCUCGAGCGCACAAACGGUCGUUGACCAUCCUGAAAUCGUAUCUUUCACUAAUUAACAAUAGCAAAUCGCAGACUAAAUGUGAAUGGAAGAGUAAAAGGAUCACUGACAUAAGCCACCCGCUGGUUGUUGACCUUGAAGUUUGGUGUGGUAGAAUUUAUCCUUGUAUUCGUCUAGCGCCAUCUCUUUUAAAAUAAAUAAACUAUCUUCAAUUUUUAUUUAUUUUUAAUUUAGUACGUUUAAUUAAGUAAUUAAAACAAUAGCAGUUUUGUUUGCAGUAGUUCUUCCACCUGAAGAUGAUACCUCCAACAUGAAGAAAUUAGAAGAG